CGGCGCUGAACUUGAGCCCCCAUCAUUUCUGCUCACACCCGCCCCUUGUAAAGAAACUUUACUAGAAUCUGCAGUACACUGUAGUUCCUUAGAAAGUUCUUCUCCAUCAUCAGUCGUGGGUUUAGCACGGCCUAUAUUGGCAUCCUCAAAGUUGUGAUUUCCAGUACUGAUAGUUUCGCCAAAGUUUCUAUGUGGUGCGUCAACAGAAACUGAACUGCUCGCUCCAUGAUCAGCAUCGUUGUUUCCAUCUUGAGCAUUCAAGAUUCUACUCCUAACAAGAUAUAAACAGAAUAGUUAACGGUGUUAAUUAAAUAAUGAAAAUGUAUUAAUUUGUAACAGUAACAAAACAUUUUGUAUGAUAUAUGUUAACUUGAAACUUUUUGUAUCAAUUUGAAACACUAAUAAAAUAUUUUGUAUGUAUGGUGCAAUUUCCCCACUCAACGUCAAUCAAAAUCUCGUAUUUGUUUUUCUAUUUGUGUUAACCGGCAAAAAAAAUUCCAUCAAUUAAACUGUAAAAUUGUAAAAUCUCAGAUCACACGCGGAAUGGAGGGCCCACCGACGGGUGUCACGGUGCGGCCGGCGGAGCACGGAGGAGAUCCAGCUGCGGGAGCGGAGGAGAAGGAGUUUCCGUGCUCAAUUUGUAUACAGAUUAUGAAUGACCCUGCUGCGCUCAGUUUCUCACUCCCGCUCAACUUUUCCCCAAAUUAAUUUCCUCCUCAAUAAGGUUUCGUCGCUGGGUGAUUUUUUUAUGUUGCUUUUUCCUCAUAUGGAUUUUAUUUCGUAAUUUCUUAUGGAUCUCCAUUUUCGUAUCUGAUUUUUGAUCUCUAUUCGAUUUUUAUUAUUUAUUAGUAUUAAAUUUCGAGUUCGUUAAUUGUGAUGGUGAAGUUUCUGAUGAGCUCGGAAAGUAGAGAAUAUUAGAAGAAGAGGAGAGAUUAGAUUCGUAUCCCUCUUUAGUAAACACAGAUAGAUUUAUUGUCUAAAAUAAAGGAAACUGACAAGUUGAAUUAAUUCAGCAAGAUGUUUAAUUCAAAUUUUUUGUUGUGGAAAUGCUCAAGAUGAAUUAAUUAACACUGCCACUGCAAAUUGACUAGUGCCAUUAAUCCCAUAGGUUUUCUAUAAUGCUUUAGAUCCAAUAUAUAUCUAAUCUUGUGAGGGAGAAUGUAUAACUGGAGUAGUAUUUGAUAUGUAUGGAUGGUUAGAAAUGAUUUUCAUAUCUGAUUUGUAGACAUGUGCACUCACCUCUUGCAUAGUAGACUGUACUUUCAAAUUUUCAUUUCUUGUAGUUUAAAUUUCAACAGCUUAAAGGAGCAGUUGUUUGUGUUUUUGUAUUGUUCCCUUUCUCCUUGGUUUUGCAGCAUUUCUUUAUUACUACUUUACUGUGGUUUUAUGAUUUGUUUCCUACCUAGUUUGCAAUCUUUAAAUACUUCAAUUGACAGUGCAACUUAUUGUGAUCUCUUCAAAAUUAGCAUCUCCUGUAGUACAAUUUCGUCGGUCGUUGGAACAGAUAAUUGUGAUUUAGGCCCUGUGUCCAACUCUUACAGCAUAAGAGGAAUCCUCUUCUAUGAAGUUUCAGUUCAAGAAAGAUGAAGGGAAGGCUCAAGUUAAUAUCCCCCGUGAAGGAAGCUACCCCGGACGAACCAACUUCACAACAUCUGACCGAAUCUGGUUGGUAGUAAUGCGCUUAAGCGAGAGUCCAUGCACAGUGAGUUUGAGGUCAAUGGUGUUUGGAGUAAUACCAAAAUAUCGAAUGCUACACAUAUUACAUCUAACUCGGGCUAUUGCGAAAUCAUGAACAAGUUUGGAACCCGCAGACGUCGAGGAGAGUUCAAAAUCAACAGCAGAGGAGCGAUCUAAGUGUUGGCCCUCACACAGCAUACGAUUCUUAUGUACAAGCUCUCACAUGUACAAGUUGGCAUUACCCGUUGAGAAUUUGUCAUGUACGAGUUACGACACGUAUCGAUGUCAUGUCAUCUAACCGUUCCUGGGCUCAACCUGGUCCUGGCGAUGGGACUCUUCCUAACUCUUGGCUGUAACAAGUAAUUUUUUUCACCAAGUUAAUUCAGGGUGGGUGUUACGAUUGAACCUAAUCAUCUAUGAGAUGCGCUGGAUAUAUACUUACACUAAUACUUGUUGCAGAAGCAUGUGGAUCUUGUUCGGCCUUUUGAGCACCUGCUCUCCCGGGUCUACGUGACAAUCUGUGGUAUAACUCCUUCAUAUGAUUAUACGUGCUGCAGUAAAAACGCAACGCAUUAAACAAAACUACAGUAUCAAUCUGAUAUUCACAACUGAAUAUGAGAACAGCGCUUUCUUGAAUUCUGUCUUUUCUUGUAUCUAGUACUUCACUACUAUUUACUCCAAUUAAACUAAGUUUCACAUCA
This is a long non-coding RNA of Salvia splendens (bonfire salvia), 2378 nucleotides long. RefSeq lists it as uncharacterized. The record is from RefSeq and is a predicted model, not a curated record. Lineage: Eukaryota; Viridiplantae; Streptophyta; Magnoliopsida; Lamiales; Lamiaceae. The transcript has 5 exons.